This 480-nucleotide ribosomal RNA is filed under the name uncultured bacterium. RNAcentral describes it as "partial 16S ribosomal RNA". It matches the Rfam family "Bacterial small subunit ribosomal RNA", at positions 28 to 523 of the family's 1533-position model. The record is from RNAcentral.
GAUGAACGCUGGCGGCGUGCCUAACACAUGCAAGUCGAACGAUGAAACCGCCUCCGGGCGGACAUGAAGUGGCGAACGGGUGAGUAACACGUGACCAACCUGCCUUCCGCUCCGGGACAACCUUGGGAAACCGAGGCUAAUACCGGACGACGCGGGGCCCCCGCAUGGGGGCCCCGCCAAAGCCCUGGCGGCGGAAGAUGGGGUCGCGGCCCAUUAGGUAGUAGGCGGGGUAACGGCCCACCUAGCCCGCGAUGGGUAGCCGGGUUGAGAGACCGACCGGCCACAUUGGGACUGAGAUACGGCCCAGACUCCUACGGGAGGCAGCAGUGGGGAAUUUUGCGCAAUGGGGGAAACCCUGACGCAGCAACGCCGCGUGCGGGAUGACGGCCUUCGGGUUGUAAACCGCUUUCAGCAGGGAAGACCAAGCGACGGUACCUGCAGAAGAAGCUCCGGCUAACUACGUGCCAGCCGCCGCUGUAA